GUAGGGAAUAUUGGGCAAUGGAGGCAACUCUGACCCAGCCAUGCCGCGUGCAGGAUGACGGCCCUCUGGGUUGUAAACUGCUUUUAUACGGGAAGAAAAAAUACUACGUGUAGUAUACUGACGGUACCGUAAGAAUAAGGAUCGGCUAACUCCGUGCCAGCAGCCGCGGUAAUACGGAGGAUCCAAGCGUUGUCCCGAUUUAUUGGGUUUAAAGGGUGCGUAGGCGGCUCUUUAAGUCAGUGGUGAAAGCCUGCAGCUUAACUGUAGAAGUGCCAUUGAAACUGAAGAUCUUGAAUGUGGUUAAAGUAGGCGGAAUGGAUCAUGUAGCGGUGAAAUGCUUAGAUAUGAUACAGAACACCGAUAGCGAAGGCAGCUUGCUGAACCAUUAUUGACGCUGAGGCACGAAAGCGUGGGGAGCGAACAGGAUUAGAAACCCGGGUAGUCC
RNAcentral lists this ribosomal RNA (445 nucleotides) under uncultured bacterium. RNAcentral's name for it is "partial 16S ribosomal RNA". It matches the Rfam family "Bacterial small subunit ribosomal RNA", at positions 354 to 796 of the family's 1533-position model. The record is from RNAcentral.